This 294-nucleotide ribosomal RNA is filed under the name Staphylococcus sp. KP1.2. RNAcentral describes it as "partial 16S ribosomal RNA". It matches the Rfam family "Bacterial small subunit ribosomal RNA", at positions 86 to 357 of the family's 1533-position model. The record is from RNAcentral. Lineage: Bacteria; Bacillati; Bacillota; Bacilli; Caryophanales; Staphylococcaceae.
UCUGACGUUGCGGCGGACGGGUGAGUAACACGUGGAUAACCUACCUAUAAGACUGGGAUAACUUCGGGAAACCGGAGCUAAUACCGGAUAAUAUAUUGAACCGCAUGGUUCAAUAGUGAAAGACGGUUUUGCUGUCACUUAUAGAUGGAUCCGCGCCGCAUUAGCUAGUUGGUAAGGUAACGGCUUACCAAGGCAACGAUGCGUAGCCGACCUGAGAGGGUGAUCGGCCACACUGGAACUGAGACACGGUCCAGACUCCUACGGGAGGCAGCAGUGGUCAUAAGCUGUUUCCUG